GCCGGGGUGGCGGAAUUGGUAGACGCAGUGGAUUCAAAAUCCACCGCUAGUGAUAGUGUGGGGGUUCGAGUCCCCCCCUCGGCACCA
RNAcentral lists this transfer RNA (87 nucleotides) under Betaproteobacteria bacterium. RNAcentral describes it as "tRNA-Leu". It matches the Rfam family "tRNA". Rfam says of the family: Transfer RNA (tRNA) molecules are approximately 80 nucleotides in length. Their secondary structure includes four short double-helical elements and three loops (D, anti-codon, and T loops). Lineage: Bacteria; Pseudomonadati; Pseudomonadota; Betaproteobacteria. The record is from RNAcentral.